RNAcentral lists this ribosomal RNA (434 nucleotides) under uncultured bacterium. RNAcentral describes it as "partial 16S ribosomal RNA". It matches the Rfam family "Bacterial small subunit ribosomal RNA", at positions 29 to 507 of the family's 1533-position model. The record is from RNAcentral.
AGCGAACGCUGGCGGUAGGCCUAACACAUGCAAGUCGAACGACCCUUUCGGGGUUAGUGGCGGUUGGGUGAGUAACACGUGGGACCGUGCCUUUAGGUUCGGAAUUAUUCAGGGUAAUUUGUGCUAAUAUCGAAUGUGCUCUUCGGGGGACAGAUUUAUCGUCCUUAGAGCGGCCCGCGUCUGAUUAACUAGUUGGUUUUGGUUAUGGCUCACCAAGGUGACAAUCAGUAGCUGGUCUGAGAGGAUGAUCAGCCACAUUGGCACUGAGACACGGCCCAAACUCCUACAGGAUGCAGCAGUGGGGAAUCUUGCGCAAUGGGCUAAAGCCUGACGCAGCCAUGCCGCGUGAAUGAUGAAGGUGUUAGAAUAGUAAAAUUCUUUCACCGGCCACGAUAAUGACGGUACCCGAAGAAGAAGCCCCGGCUAACUUCGUG